This 1343-nucleotide ribosomal RNA is filed under the name uncultured bacterium. Its description in RNAcentral is "16S ribosomal RNA". It matches the Rfam family "Bacterial small subunit ribosomal RNA", at positions 28 to 1378 of the family's 1533-position model. The record is from RNAcentral.
GACGAACGCUGGCGGCGUGCUUAACACAUGCAAGUCGAACGGAAAGGCCCUGCUUUUGUGGGGUGCUCGAGUGGCGAACGGGUGAGUAACACGUGAGUAACCUGCCCUUGACUUUGGGAUAACUUCAGGAAACUGGGGCUAAUACCGGAUAGGAGCUCCUGCUGCAUGGUGGGGGUUGGAAAGUUUCGGCGGUUGGGGAUGGACUCGCGGCUUAUCAGCUUGUUGGUGGGGUAGUGGCUUACCAAGGCUUUGACGGGUAGCCGGCCUGAGAGGGUGACCGGCCACAUUGGGACUGAGAUACGGCCCAGACUCCUACGGGAGGCAGCAGUGGGGAAUAUUGCACAAUGGGCGGAAGCCUGAUGCAGCAACGCCGCGUGCGGGAUGACGGCCUUCGGGUUGUAAACCGCUUUCGCCUGUGACGAAGCGUGAGUGACGGUAAUGGGUAAAGAAGCACCGGCUAACUACGUGCCAGCAGCCGCGGUGAUACGUAGGGUGCGAGCGUUGUCCGGAUUUAUUGGGCGUAAAGGGCUCGUAGGUGGUUGAUCGCGUCGGAAGUGUAAUCUUGGGGCUUAACCCUGAGCGUGCUUUCGAUACGGGUUGACUUGAGGAAGGUAGGGGAGAAUGGAGUUCCUGGUGGAGCGGUGGAAUGCGCAGAUAUCAGGAGGAACACCAGUGGCGAAGGCGGUUCUCUGGGCCUUUCCUGACGCUGAGGAGCGAAAGCGUGGGGAGCGAACAGGCUUAGAUACCCUGGUAGUCCACGCUGUAAACGGUGGGUACUAGGUGUGGGGUCCAUUCCACGGGUUCCGUGCCGUAGCUAACGCUUUAAGUACCCCGCCUGGGGAGUACGGCCGCAAGGCUAAAACUCAAAGGAAUUGACGGGGCCCCGCACAAGCGGCGGAGCAUGCGGAUUAAUUCGAUGCAACGCGUAGAACCUUACCUGGGUUUGACAUGGAUCGGGAGCGCUCAGAGAUGGGUGUGCCUCUUUUGGGGUCGGUUCACAGGCGGUGCAUGGCUGUCGUCAGCUCGUGUCGUGAGAUGUUGGGUUAAGUCCCGCAACGAGCGCAACCCUUGUUCACUGUUGCCAGCACGUUAUGGUGGGGACUCAGUGGAGACCGCCGGGGUCAACUCGGAGGAAGGUGGGGAUGACGUCAAGUCAUCAUGCCCCUUAUGUCCAGGGCUUCACGCAUGCUACAAUGGCUGGUACAGAGAGUGGCGAGCCUGUGAGGGUGAGCGAAUCUCGGAAAGCCGGUCUCAGUUCGGAUUGGGGUCUGCAACUCGACCUCAUGAAGUCGGAGUCGCUAGUAAUCGCAGAUCAGCAACGCUGCGGUGAAUACGUUCCCGGG